RNAcentral lists this ribosomal RNA (507 nucleotides) under Barylestis occidentalis. RNAcentral's name for it is "partial 16S ribosomal RNA". It matches the Rfam family "Bacterial large subunit ribosomal RNA", at positions 1796 to 2644 of the family's 2925-position model. The record is from RNAcentral. Lineage: Eukaryota; Metazoa; Arthropoda; Arachnida; Araneae; Sparassidae.
UCGACUGUUUAUCAAAAACAUAAUUAAUAGAUAUAAUUAUUAACAAAACCUGCUCAAUGAAUAUUCAAUAGCCGCAGUUCAAACUGUGCUAAGGUAGCAUAAUCACUUGUCUUUUAAUUAAAGACUAGAAUGAAAGGUAUCACAUUUAAAUUACUAUUAUACAUUUAAUCCUAAAUUAUUCUAAAUGUAAAAAAACAUUUAUUUAUAAGAUAGACGAUAAGACCCUAUCGAACUUAACUUUAGUUAAGCUGGGGAAGCUAAUAAACAAUAUUUUAAUUAAACUUCUUUAACCAAAUGACCUAAUAAAAUUAAUUUACUGAUCAAGUUACCGUAGGGAUAACAGCGUAAUGUUUUUCUAUAGAUCUUAUAUAAAAAAAAGAUUGCGACCUCGAUGUUGAAUUAAUUUCUCUAAUAUAAAGCAAAAAUUUAUAAAGAAAGUCUGUUCGACUUUUAAACAAUCACAUGAUUUGAGUUCAGACCGGUGUAAUCCAGGUCGGUUUCUAUCUU